AUAGUGCUCGACAGAGAGUAAUGCUCUACAAAUGGCUCCUGCUUCUUCCCCUUCUCUACCCUCUCCCCCUUCUGCUCUUGCCAUCAUAGGAUUUCAGGGUGUGAAAUCUGCUGGGCCUAAAGGCUGAAUCCUUGGGAUCUCAGGGCAGGUGUGCGUGUGCUGGCGCGUUGAAAAGAGACUGUACAAAUACUGACUUUUAUGACUCAAGGUGGCCACUUGGACCAUUUUGCCCAGUUCGUUUCCCAGGCGAGUCCUGUGCCCCUCAGGCCUGUGGAGCACGGACAGCUGGCUGCCCUGGACAUGCCAGGCAGUGAGUAGAGAUGGUGAGGAAGAUCCGUGUCUGAAGCAGGUGACAGGUGUUCAGAGAACAUUCCCCCAUUGCCUGUUGCCGAGAGCAUCCUGAGACCAGCUGGGGCGAGGAGCAGAGGAAAUCCCCAUGAUUUGGAGCGACCCUGAUUUGAAGAAUAAUUCUCAUAGGAUAGACAACUGUCUGCAAAGGUCCAAUCCGUGGAAUGAAUCCAAGUGUUUGCUCAGAAUGGAAUUUCACCAAAAGCAAUUCAGGCCACAGCUUUGUGUUCAAAA
Long non-coding RNA from Eptesicus fuscus (big brown bat), 582 nucleotides. RefSeq lists it as uncharacterized. The record is from RefSeq and is a predicted model, not a curated record. Lineage: Eukaryota; Metazoa; Chordata; Mammalia; Chiroptera; Vespertilionidae. The transcript has 3 exons.